RNAcentral lists this long non-coding RNA (1062 nucleotides) under Sinocyclocheilus anshuiensis. Its description in RNAcentral is "lncRNA (ENSSANG00000005678.1)". The record is from RNAcentral. Lineage: Eukaryota; Metazoa; Chordata; Actinopteri; Cypriniformes; Cyprinidae.
AUGCGACAAGAUGAUGUGUCAGUUCACAUUAGAAAUGAUUCUUUGAUUUGCAAGUAUGGGGAAUCGCUGUAUGCAAAACAUGGUCGUGUGAAGUCGAGGCACCAGUACAUCUCACAAAGAAUGAGGGAGCUUGGUCGAUUCGUGUUAGUUGCUAAAGAAAUGGACACGACUGUCAAUGGUCUUGAAGAUUUGUGUGCGCCAGCAAGAUUUCAGUUUGUUGUUAAUGUUGCCAAGCGUCUUACUCAAUUUAGUCCAGGCAAAAAUGAGUAUGGAAAACCUUCAACAGCAGUGAAAAUUGGAUUCUGUCUGAAAGGGGCUGUGGAGGUCCUGAUUGGGCAGGCUCUUAUGAAUGAGGAUGAUCUAUCAGAGAAGAAAGCCAAAAAAUUCUUUGAACUUUUGGAGAAAAACUGGAGGAACAGUGUUUCUAUCACCGCUCACCAAACCAUACAAGAAAAACGAUGGAAUAAAGAAGAUGACAUCCCCCUCACCAAAAAUGUGAUUGCUCUGAGAGACCAUCUCAGGAUGGUAGAAGAUGAAGCGAGAGCAAAACUGACACCGCAUAUGAAUUUAGGAGCAUACAAGGCAUUAAAUGAGACUGUUCUGGCACAGGUUAUUAUUUUUAACAAGCGUCGUGAAGGGGAAGCAUCACGCUUAACUCUCGACACCUACAAGAAAGCGAGCACAAAUUCCAUUAACGAGGAUAUCUAUAGCACUUUGUCACCACUGGAAAAGGAGUUGAGUAAGAUACUAACUCGCAUAGAAAUCAGGGACAAAAGAGGAAAGAAAGUUCCAGUUUUCUUGACAGAGAGAAUGAAGGAGUCAAUCAAUUUGUUGGUUCAAAGGAGAGAAGAAGCUGGUCUACCCGCUGAAAAUCCUUAUCUCUUUGCAAGACCUGGUGUGAUGACAAACAUACGUGGAUGUGACUGUCUGCGAAAAUACGCAGAAGAAAGUAAAACCGAAAACCCUGAACUCCUAAGAUCAACUAAAUUAAGAAAACAGGUCGCCACACUCUGCCAACUCUUGGACCUUACUGAACAAGAGCUUGAGAGGGAAGAACCUUAA